AACCUUUAAAAUUUGGACAGCAUACUCUCCUACAGUAGAGACGGCAGCCACUUCAAACCGAUUCUGAACCUGUUCCCUGAAAUAAAACAAACUCGCUCCAUUGACAUACAUAAAUUGUUUACGACUCAUUAAAAAGCAAAAUUGCAUAUCACGCGGCUGGCAGCUGGGUCCAUGCGGGUGGAAAGGGGGCAUUCACUCAUCUCUUUGUAUGCUGGCAGUACCAAACUGAAGUUUAGCAGUAGGCAGUGGCUGAGAUUGUUUUGUGCAGCCAGACGAUGCAUGAGGUUACUUGAUGAUCUUCAAGGCCUUCACAGAAUUGUUAAGUUAACCGCCCAUUGACAAGAAUGGAAGAGAGAUAGCGAAUUGGUGUAAAUCUACUAGAAGAAUAAAAAGUGAAUAAUAAUAAAACACAUUAGAU
Long non-coding RNA from Crotalus tigris (Tiger rattlesnake), 418 nucleotides. RefSeq lists it as uncharacterized. Lineage: Eukaryota; Metazoa; Chordata; Lepidosauria; Squamata; Viperidae. The record is from RefSeq and is a predicted model, not a curated record. The transcript has 3 exons.